This is a long non-coding RNA of Mastomys coucha (southern multimammate mouse), 428 nucleotides long. RefSeq lists it as uncharacterized. The transcript is spliced from 2 exons. The record is from RefSeq and is a predicted model, not a curated record. Lineage: Eukaryota; Metazoa; Chordata; Mammalia; Rodentia; Muridae.
CUUUCAUUUUUCCUCCAUGAACGCAGAGGGCCAGGCCCCAUGAGGACCUCGCCUUGUGCUGGCUUCGAGGGGAAGCGUGGCCCCUAGCCACGGGGGUGGGGUGCGAGUGAAUGGGCUGGCACUUGGCUCACUUCACUUGAAAGCUCAGAGGCUGCCACAGAUGCCGAUCUCAGGCAAGAACAGCAUCCUGGGACUAGGAUUCAAAUGAGGAAAGAUGCUGUCUCAACUUGGCCUUUUGCCCUGGUAUGCAUUCUUAUGACUGCUCCUGUCAUCAUGACGAGAAGAGAAACUUCACAAGUGACUGGAUAGUCCUGAGUAGCAUUAGGGAUUCACCUACGUGGGAUGGGUUUUAACUAGCACAAAGGACCCUGUAAGUAGGAACAUUCAAAGGCAAUUAGUUGGUAACAAUAUUAUAAAUAGAAAAGGAG